CUUGUAGGCGGUUUGUCGCGUCUGCUGUGAAAAUCCGGGGCUCAACCCCGGACUUGCAGUGGGUACGGGCAGACUGGAGUGUGGUAGGGGAGACUGGAAUUCCUGGUGUAGCGGUGGAAUGCGCAGAUAUCAGGAGGAACACCGAUGGCGAAGGCAGGUCUCUGGGCCACUACUGACGCUGAGAAGCGAAAGCAUGGGGAGCGAACAGGAUUAGAUACCCUGGUAGUCCAUGCCGUAAACGUUGGGCGCUAGGUGUGGGGCUCAUUCCACGAGUUCUGUGCCGCAGCUAACGCAUUAAGCGCCCCGCCUGGGGAGUACGGCCGCAAGGCUAAA
This 333-nucleotide ribosomal RNA is filed under the name uncultured Intrasporangium sp. RNAcentral describes it as "bacterial SSU rRNA". It matches the Rfam family "Bacterial small subunit ribosomal RNA", at positions 568 to 898 of the family's 1533-position model. The record is from RNAcentral. Lineage: Bacteria; Bacillati; Actinomycetota; Actinomycetes; Micrococcales; Intrasporangiaceae.